RNAcentral lists this unclassified non-coding RNA (306 nucleotides) under plant metagenome. RNAcentral's name for it is "partial contains 5.8S ribosomal RNA, internal transcribed spacer 2, and large subunit ribosomal RNA". The stretch from base 1 to 105 matches the Rfam family "5.8S ribosomal RNA", at positions 50 to 154 of the family's 154-position model. The record is from RNAcentral.
GAAAUGCGAUAAGUAAUGUGAAUUGCAGAAUUCAGUGAAUCAUCGAAUCUUUGAACGCACAUUGCGACCGCCAGUAUUCUGGCGGGCAUGCCUGUCCGAGCGUCAUUUCAACCAUCAAGCCCCCGGGCUUGUGUUGGGGACCUGCGGCUGCCCGCAGGCCCUGAAAACCAGUGGCGGGCUCGCUGUCACACCGAGCGUAGUAGCAAUCACCUCGCUCAGGGCGUGCUGCGGGUUCCGGCCGUUAAACAGCCUUACAAAACCCAAGGUUGACCUCGGAUCAGGUAGGAAGACCCGCUGAACUUAAGC